GACGAACGCUGGCGGCGUGCCUAAUACAUGCAAGUAGAACGCUGAAGGAGGAGCUUGCUUCUCUGGAUGAGUUGCGAACGGGUGAGUAACGCGUAGGUAACCUGCCUGGUAGCGGGGGAUAACUAUUGGAAACGAUAGCUAAUACCGCAUAAUAGUAGAUGUCGCAUGACAUUUGCUUAAAAGGUGCAAUUACAUCACUACCAGAUGGACCUGCGUUGUAUUAGCUAGUUGGUGAGGUAACGGCUCACCAAGGCAACGAUACAUAGCCGACCUGAGAGGGUGAUCGGCCACACUGGGACUGAGACACGGCCCAGACUCCUACGGGAGGCAGCAGUAGGGAAUCUUCGGCAAUGGACGGAAGUCUGACCGAGCAACGCCGCGUGAGUGAAGAAGGUUUUCGGAUCGUAAAGCUCUGUUGUAAGAGAAGAACGAGUGUGAGAGUGGAAAGUUCACACUGUGACGGUAUCUUACCAGAAAGGGACGGCUAACUACGUG
Molecule: ribosomal RNA, 495 nt
Filed under: uncultured bacterium
Lineage: Bacteria
Description: partial 16S ribosomal RNA
Rfam family: Bacterial small subunit ribosomal RNA
Source: RNAcentral